CAGCAGUCGCCACGGUAAUACGAAGGGGGCUAGCGUUGUUCGGAAUCACUGGGCGUAAAGCGCACGUAGGCGGACUUUUAAGUCAGGGGUGAAAUCCCAAGGCUCAACCUUGGAACUGCCUUUGAUACUGGAAGUCUUGAGUUCGGGAGAGGUGAGUGGAACUGCGAGUGUAGAGGUGAAAUUCGUAGAUAUUCGCAAGAACACCAGUGGCGAAGGCGGCUCACUGGCCCGAUACUGACGCUGAGGUGCGAAAGCGUGGGGAGCAAACAGGAUUAGAUACCCCCGUAGUCCCUGUCUCUUAUAC
Molecule: ribosomal RNA, 304 nt
Filed under: uncultured bacterium
Lineage: Bacteria
Description: partial 16S ribosomal RNA
Rfam family: Bacterial small subunit ribosomal RNA
Source: RNAcentral